AGAAUACAAUAUUUUUAGUCAUAUAGUAUGUGUUUGGAUCUGCAUCAUCCUGGCUCUUAUGGCUAAGCACCUUUUUGAUCUUAUACCCUCCUGGCAUCACAAGCGAGGUCGGCAUGAUAUAUAUAGCUCUGGCCUACAUCAAGGCCUCUGAAAAAUACUUCAUUAGGAUGCCAAACAAGUGGAACUUCUCUUUCGAUUAUUUCUAUGCAGCUAUCAUUGCUCUUGGAAAUUAUGUGCCAAGUAUGUAUCUGAUAUUUUCACAAUCUGUGUGGUUGUAUUGGUGUUCUCUAAUCCCUAAGAUUGUCUUCUUGUUGGCAGGGAGUGCUCUUGGUAUAGUUGUGAAUGUAUUCCUCUGAAAAAACAGAUUGCCAAUGUUUUAUGAAUUAUUGAUUAAAUGUUUUUGCUUUCAGCUGGGUGCUCA
This is a long non-coding RNA of Asparagus officinalis (garden asparagus), 421 nucleotides long. RefSeq lists it as uncharacterized. The transcript is spliced from 3 exons. Lineage: Eukaryota; Viridiplantae; Streptophyta; Magnoliopsida; Asparagales; Asparagaceae. The record is from RefSeq and is a predicted model, not a curated record.